RNAcentral lists this ribosomal RNA (750 nucleotides) under uncultured bacterium. RNAcentral describes it as "bacterial SSU rRNA". It matches the Rfam family "Bacterial small subunit ribosomal RNA", at positions 28 to 776 of the family's 1533-position model. The record is from RNAcentral.
AUUGAACGCUGGCGGCAGGCUUAACACAUGCAAGUCGAACGAUGAAGAUAUAGCUUGCUAUAUCGGAUUAGUGGCGGACGGGUGAGUAACACUUAGGAAUCUACCUUUUAGCGGGGGAUAGCUCGGGGAAACUCGAAUUAAUACCGCAUAAUUUCUACGGAAUAAAGAGGGCUUUUAGCUCUCACUAGAAGAUGAGCCUAAGUAAGAUUAGCUAGUUGGUGGGGUAAAAGCCUACCAAGGCGACGAUCUUUAGCUGGUCUGAGAGGAUGAUCAGCCACACUGGGACUGAGACACGGCCCAGACUCCUACGGGAGGCAGCAGUGGGGAAUAUUGGACAAUGGGGGCAACCCUGAUCCAGCCAUGCCGCGUGUGUGAAGAAGGCCUUUUGGUUGUAAAGCACUUUAAGCAGUGAAGAAGACCUAUUGGUUAACACCCAAUAGCGAUGACAUUAACUGCAGAAUAAGCACCGGCUAACUCUGUGCCAGCAGCCGCGGUAAUACAGAGGGUGCAAGCGUUAAUCGGAAUUACUGGGCGUAAAGCGAGCGUAGGUGGUUAAAUAAGUCAGAUGUGAAAGCCCUGGGCUCAACCUAGGAGCGGCAUCUGAAACUAUUUAACUAGAGUAGGUGAGAGGGAAGUAGAAUUUCAGGUGUAGCGGUGAAAUGCGUAGAGGUCUGAAGGAAUACCGAUGGCGAAGGCAGCUUCCUGGCAUCAUACUGACACUGAGGCUCGAAAGCGUGGGUAGCAAACAGG